GCUGGUGUGAGACGAGAAAAUCCUGCCUUGCCGCCGGGAUAAUCAAGAGUUUUGACCGGACCUCUGAGCAUACGCUGAGAGAGUGAGGAGCCAGACGACAAGCACACACUAUGGCGCUGAAACGGAUUAAUAAGGAACUUAGUGAUUUGGCCCGUGACCCUCCAGCACAAUGUUCUGCAGGUCCAGUUGGGGAUGAUAUGUUUCAUUGGCAAGCCACAAUUAUGGGAUCUAAUGACAGCCUAUAUCAAGGCUGUGUAUUCUUUUUGACAAUUCAUUUUCCUACAGACUACCCCUUCAAACCACCUAAGGUUGCAUUUACAACAAGAAUUUAUCAUCCAAAUAUUAACAGUAAUGGCAGCAUUUGUCUCGAUAUUCUAAGAUCACAGUGGUCACCUGCUUUAACAAUUUCUAAAGUUCUUUUAUCCAUUUGUUCACUGCUAUGUGAUCCAAACCCAGAUGACCCCCUAGUGCCAGAGAUUGCACGGACCUAUAAAACAGACAGAGAUAAGUACAACAGAAUAUCUUGGGAAUGUACUCAGAAGUAUGCCAUGUGAUGCUACCUUAAAGUCAGAAUAACCUGCAUUAUAGCUGGAAUAAACUUUAAAUUACU
Molecule: RNA transcript, 610 nt
Organism: Nomascus leucogenys (northern white-cheeked gibbon)
Lineage: Eukaryota; Metazoa; Chordata; Mammalia; Primates; Hylobatidae
Gene name: ubiquitin-conjugating enzyme E2 D3 pseudogene
Exons: 1
Source: RefSeq, a predicted model, not a curated record